AGAGUUUGAUCCUGGCUCAGAUUGAACGCUGGCGGCAUGCCUUACACAUGCAAGUCGAACGGCAGCACGGAGCUUGCUCUGGUGGCGAGUGGCGAACGGGUGAGUAAUAUAUCGGAACGUACCCUGGAGUGGGGGAUAACGUAGCGAAAGUUACGCUAAUACCGCAUACGAUCUAAGGAUGAAAGUGGGGGACCGCCUUGGCGGCCUCAUGCUCCUGGAGCGGCCGAUAUCUGAUUAGCUAGUUGGUAGGGUAAAAGCCUACCAAGGCAUCGAUCAGUAGCUGGUCUGAGAGGACGACCAGCCACACUGGAACUGAGACACGGUCCAGACUCCUACGGGAGGCAGCAGUGGGGAAUUUUGGACAAUGGGGGCAACCCUGAUCCAGCAAUGCCGCGUGAGUGAAGAAGGCCUUCGGUG
RNAcentral lists this ribosomal RNA (417 nucleotides) under uncultured bacterium. Its description in RNAcentral is "bacterial SSU rRNA". It matches the Rfam family "Bacterial small subunit ribosomal RNA", at positions 8 to 423 of the family's 1533-position model. The record is from RNAcentral.